AUUGAACGCCGGCGGCAGGCCUAACACAUGCAAGUCGAGCGGCAGCGGGAAAGUAGCUUGCUACUUUUGCCGGCGAGCGGCGGACGGGUGAGUAAUGCCUGGGGAUCUGCCCAGUCGAGGGGGAUAACAGUUGGAAACGACUGCUAAUACCGCAUACGCCCUACGGGGGAAAGGAGGGGACCUUCGGGCCUUUCGCGAUUGGAUGAACCCGGGUGGGAUUAGCUAGUUGGGGGGGUAAUGGCUCACCAAGGCGACGAUCCCUAGCUGGUCUGGGAGGAGGAUCAGCCACACUGGAACUGAGACACGGUCCAGACUCCUACGGGAGGCAGCAGUGGGGAAUAUUGCACAAUGGGGGAAACCCUGAUGCAGCCAUGCCGCGUGUGUGAAGAAGGCCUUCGGGUUGUAAAGCACUUUCAGCGAGGAGGAAAGGUUGGUAGCUAAUAACUGCCAGCUGUGACGUUACUCGCAGAAGAAGCACCGGCUAACUCCGUGCCAGCCGCCGCGGUAA
This 508-nucleotide ribosomal RNA is filed under the name uncultured bacterium. Its description in RNAcentral is "partial 16S ribosomal RNA". It matches the Rfam family "Bacterial small subunit ribosomal RNA", at positions 29 to 523 of the family's 1533-position model. The record is from RNAcentral.